CCUAGGGGAGGCAGCAGUGAGGAAUAUUGGUCAAUGGGCGGGAGCCUGAACCAGCCAAGUCGCGUGAGGGAAGACGGUCCUAUGGAUUGUAAACCUCUUUAGGCGGGGAGCAAUGCCGGGCACGCGUGCCCGGAGGGAGAGUACCCGCAGAAUAAGCAUCGGCUAACUCCGUGCCAGCAGCCGCGGUAAUACGGAGGAUGCGAGCGUUAUCCGGAAUUAUUGGGCGUAAAGGGUGCGUAGAUGGCAUAGUAAGUCUUUUGUAAAAAUGCUGGGCUCAACCCAGUAGGGCAAAAGAUACUGCAAAGCUAGAGUAUGACAGAGGCAAGUGGAACUACAUGUGUAGCGGUAAAAUGCGUAAAUAUAUGUAAGAACACCAGUGGCGAAGGCGGCUUGCUGGGUCGAUACUGACAUUGAGGCACGAAAGCGUGGGGAGCAAACAGGAUUAGAUACCCCGGUAGUC
RNAcentral lists this ribosomal RNA (460 nucleotides) under uncultured bacterium. RNAcentral's name for it is "partial 16S ribosomal RNA". It matches the Rfam family "Bacterial small subunit ribosomal RNA", at positions 338 to 795 of the family's 1533-position model. The record is from RNAcentral.